Magallana angulata is the source of this 1379-nucleotide long non-coding RNA. RefSeq lists it as uncharacterized. Lineage: Eukaryota; Metazoa; Mollusca; Bivalvia; Ostreida; Ostreidae. The record is from RefSeq and is a predicted model, not a curated record. The transcript is spliced from 3 exons.
AUAAAUACGCAUUAUUUCCCUUUUAUCUCCGACUACCGCCAUAUUCGUUGUCGAUUUCUAUUGUUCUGCUCAUCGCUACACACCCCCUAUAUAAGGCCGAAAGCACUAUUCAUGCUUCACCGCAUUCAGGUAUUUCAUUCACCCGAACACGUUACCUUGGACGAAAAGACGUGUAGAAACGCGUUUUGAACAAAAAUAAUAUGACAACCUCUGCACUGGCAAGGAAUAUCCAAUGAGCGACGAAACAAGACAAACUGAAAUCCAGACACAGAUACUUCAAAAAUCCUCGAUAAUAGUAGACCGUUUUCCUGUGUAUGUUAUAACAUUGCACAUGUGCAAUCACACACUGUGGCAGAUCGAGCAUUGUCAAUAAUCGCAUGGAUUUUUUUUUUGUAGAAACCGAUGGAAACGAUUUUACGUUCAACUUGUUACUUUCUUGGAUUUACUAUCAUUCAUCUACUGUGUUAGAUGCAGUGCCGCCGGGGUUUUCAAAAAGAUGCAGACGUUAUGCACUCUGUAUGAACGACAUACGUGUUCGAUGUGCAUGUGAAGUAAGGCAGCACUAUUCGUGCAAAAUAGUACGGAUACCUUGGAAAUUCUUUCAAAGAAUAAAUAUACAUGGGUUUUUUUUGUAUUUUAUUGACUGCUGUUUCCUUUAUUAUUUACUACAACGAUUUUACUACAAUAUGUAGUUCAUGCAUUUAGAAGUCCGUGUAACCUGAAUGCCUCGAUCGGAAAGCAACCGACCGUAACUUUCUCGACCGGUAUAUAUACCCCAGUGGUAGUAGAGGAGCGAUCAAAACUAAUAUGGCGACCAGACACUUUUAUGAGUUCAUGUCAGCUUUAAGAUACGGAAAGACAACUGGCUUGACCUGAAAAGUUGCAGUAUCUGUGUGAUAUAAUUAUGGAAGAAGGAUUUUGCACAUGGUUCAUACCCCCUAUGUUGAAGGAUCCCUUCAUUGGAGGAGGCUGCAUUGUUGACAGCAGUAAAAGAUUUGGAAGAAGGAGAACAUGGAAUGUUCUGCUGGGUGACACUUGCUGUGCUUGAUACCUAAUUCUCCCCAAGCCAUAUUUCAUGAGGCCUACAAACUGCAGCCAAGGAGAAAUUUAUUCAAACAUGCAUACCAAGAUCAGAAGUGAAAUUGAGAGGUUCUUUUGUUUGCAUAAGAUUUGCAUGAUACAGGAAUUAACUGCCUGCAUUGUUAAUUGAAGAGGACUUGGAGAGACUGAGAAAGAUGCAUGAGUAUUUGACAACAACCAACCUCUAAGCCUCAAACACCAUGCACCAAGAGAAGGAGAACAAUUAUUGUGACAUUUAAUCUAAUGUCUACAUCCUAAUUUAUAAUUAUAAUACAAAAUAGCCAAAAAAAAUUGAAUUU